CCUACGGGUGGCUGCAGUGGGGAAUAUUGGACAAUGGGGGCAACCCUGAUCCAGCCAUGCCGCGUGAGUGAUGAAGGCCUUCGGGUUGUAAAGCUCUUUUGGCGGGGACGAUGAUGACGGUACCCGCAGAAUAAGCCCCGGCUAACUUCGUGCCAGCAGCCGCGGUAAGACGAAGGGGGCUAGCGUUGUUCGGAAUUACUGGGCGUAAAGCGCGUGUAGGCGGUUUGCCAAGUUGGGUGUGAAAGCCUUGAGCUCAACUCAAGAAAUGCACUCAGUACUGGCAGACUAGAGGACCGGAGAGGAUAGUGGAAUUCCCAGUGUAGUGGUGAAAUACGUAGAGAUUGGGAAGAACACCAGUGGCGAAGGCGGCUAUCUGGACGGUUUCUGACGCUAAGACGCGAAAGCGUGGGGAGCAAACAGGAUUAGAUACCCCGGUAGUC
RNAcentral lists this ribosomal RNA (440 nucleotides) under uncultured bacterium. RNAcentral describes it as "bacterial SSU rRNA". It matches the Rfam family "Bacterial small subunit ribosomal RNA", at positions 338 to 795 of the family's 1533-position model. The record is from RNAcentral.